Molecule: ribosomal RNA, 229 nt
Filed under: uncultured bacterium
Lineage: Bacteria
Description: partial 16S ribosomal RNA
Rfam family: Bacterial small subunit ribosomal RNA
Source: RNAcentral
UACGUAGGCGGCCUUGUAGGUUGGGUGUGAAAUCCCACGGCUCAACCGUGGAACUGCGCCCAAAACCACAAGGCUUGAGGGAGACAGGGGUAUGCGGAACUGAUGGUGGAGCGGUGAAAUGCGUUGAUAUCAUCAGGAACACCGGUGGCGAAGGCGGCAUACUGGGUCUCUUCUGACGCUGAGGUACGAAAGCUAGGGUAGCGAACAGGAUUAGAUACCCUGGUAGUCC